Cyprinodon tularosa is the source of this 457-nucleotide long non-coding RNA. RefSeq lists it as uncharacterized. The transcript is spliced from 3 exons. Lineage: Eukaryota; Metazoa; Chordata; Actinopteri; Cyprinodontiformes; Cyprinodontidae. The record is from RefSeq and is a predicted model, not a curated record.
ACGGGACAAAAUGUUUUCCACGACGUCCGCAUCACCUACCUUCUCAAGUGAUGAGACGCAGCCUCCUCCCUCCUCGACACCAGAAGGCGUAAUGACUAACAGCUGGGGAGGCCGACUAUUUUCAAACCCAAAUGGGAAUGGAGAUGUACAGACGACGUGUUAUUAUCUCCUCUGCUCGUGAAUUGAGCCCCGGUACCUGGCCACCCACACACCAACAAGGAAAAAGAGGACCCUAAAACUACAAAUCGAGACUCAAAGGCGAAACAUUCCUCACAUUUAACACAGAAGAUUAGGUAACAGGUUUUACCAAAAUCCCAUGGAACCUAAAAUAGCAGGAAAAAGACCAGCGCUGAACCGAGAGUUUCUGACAAUCUGCAAUAAUCCACGCUUUGGAGCAAAUCACUGUGUGAAACACACUUAAACUGAAGCAUUUAAUCAGGAACAUGCUGUGCGCAAU